ACGAACCUCAAAGUUCCCAUCUCCUUCAUCAUUUCUUUCCCAUCUCUAGUCAAAAUCUCCUUGUUAGGGAGGAUUAUGUCUCCGUUGAUUCUCCUAGUAUAGCCAAAACUCCAUGAGAUUUUGAAGUGCAAGAGACCCAAGGUUUUGAGAUUCUUGGUGAUGGACGUAGUGAUGGGAUUGGUUGAUUUUGUGAUGCCUGGUUGAGGUAAAAUUGGUUGGCUUUCUAAGUGAUCACCAGAUUUGGUUUUCUUGGUCUUUGUGACAACGGAAUCAAAUCUAGGUCAGUGCCCUUUUCACUUUGGAUGACGCGUUCUUCCCUGCUGCCCAUGGGGGGAAAAGGUUCCUUGAUUGUGUG
Molecule: long non-coding RNA, 355 nt
Organism: Quercus lobata
Lineage: Eukaryota; Viridiplantae; Streptophyta; Magnoliopsida; Fagales; Fagaceae
Exons: 3
Source: RefSeq, a predicted model, not a curated record